Molecule: ribosomal RNA, 402 nt
Filed under: uncultured bacterium
Lineage: Bacteria
Description: bacterial SSU rRNA
Rfam family: Bacterial small subunit ribosomal RNA
Source: RNAcentral
UAGGGAAUAUUGGUAAUGUGCGAAAGCGCGAACCAGCAACGCCGCGUGCACGAUGAAGGCCUUCGGGUUGUAAAGUGCUUUUAGAGAGGAUGAGGAAGGACAGUACUUUCUGAAUAAGCCUCGGCUAACUACGUGCCAGCAGCCGCGGUAAAACGUAGGAGGCUAGCGUUAUCCGGAUUUACUGGGCGUAAAGCGCGUGCAGGUGGUUUCGUAAGUUGGAUGUGAAAGCUCCUGGCUUAACUGGGAGAGGUCGUUCAAAACUGCGAGGCUUGAGAGUGGUAGAGGGAGGUGGAAUUCCGGGUGUAGUGGUGAAAUGCGCAGAUAUCCGGAGGAACACCAGUGGCGAAAGCGGCCUCCUGGACCAUUUCUGACACUCAGACGCGAAAGCUAAGGUAGCAAACG